AUGUCCAUCCAUCCAUGUGUCCAUCCAUCCAUCUGUAUGUCCAUCCAUCCACGUGUCCAUCCAUCCGUCUGUCCGUCUGUCUGUCUAUCUGUACGUCCAUCCAUUCAUCCAUCCCCCAUCCAUCCAUCAUCCAUCCAUCCAUCCCUCCAUCCAUCCAUCCCCCAUCCCUCCAUCCAUCUGCCCAUUCAGGCACCCUUUGGGGUCAGCUGGCAGCAGAGCCCAGCCCUGGGUAGUGUCAGUGGCCAUGGCAUUGGCAGUGUCAGUGUCAGUGUCAGUGGCAAUGGCAGUGACUGUGGCAGUGGCAGAGCCUUUGUCCCGUGCCAGGACACACCUGGUGAUCCUCCUGGGCUCCAUGAAGCUGGGCGAGUCGCGUCUCCUCUUCCUGAUGGGGGAAUAGCUCCUGGAGCGGCGCCGGGGGCGGGCGGGAUCGGGGUCACCGUGACGUGUUCGGGGCUCGUUGUCCUUCUCUCUACAGCCCGGGGAGGAGNGGGGUUUGUGGGGAUGCUGGGGGAAUUCGUGUCCUCCAUCUCCCCCCAGGCUCCAGGAGAGCAGAACCUUUUGUCUCCUCCUCCUCCUCCUGCCACUGUCACAUCCAGCGCUGCCACCCUGCCCAGGCUGGCAUGUGGGGACAAGCUGCACAUGGAGUGCCACCAGUGUGUCCCCUCCUUACCUGUUCACCCCAUCUCUAACACCUCUGGACACCCAGGGACGGGCACCCAUCACUGCCCAGCUCCUGGGAUUUCUCCCCAAGGCCUGGUGAACCCUGGACAUGCCAGGUUUGGGAGGCUGACCCUGAAGUGCCCCUUGCUCCCAUCCCUGCUCCAUCAGGCCCCUGCUGACGAGGCUGAGCUGGGCUCCAGAGGAUCCUCCCGACCCCGGCUGGCUGGGAACCAGCCAGAGCCCGGCUGUGCAUGCAGGGGCGGCGGGUUAAUGCGGGCAGCUGCUCUCCCACCCAGCGAGGCUCAUCCCCAUUGUCCUGCUCCAGCCAGCCGCAAACGCGGAGCCAGCGGCGUUAAACACCGACCCCGGGGCCACCACUGUCCUCAGCGCCUGGGGGCUUGGUUUUUUCUGGGAAAUCAGCAAAAUCCUGCGAAAGCCGGGCGGCAAGCCAAGCCCGGGACCCUCCUGCCUCUCUCUUCCCAUAAUUGA
Molecule: long non-coding RNA, 1149 nt
Filed under: Zonotrichia albicollis (white-throated sparrow)
Lineage: Eukaryota; Metazoa; Chordata; Aves; Passeriformes; Passerellidae
Description: lncRNA (ENSZALG00000010568.1)
Source: RNAcentral